AAAGGCUCAAGAUUAUUAUAUUCCCUCCAAUUCCUGAUCCUGGCAAGAUUUUUAAAGAAAUGUUUGGAGACCAGAAUGAUGAUACUCUGCACUGGAAGAAGUACGACAUCUAUGAGAAGCAAACCAAGGAGGAAACCGACUCUGUAGUGCUGAUAGAAAACCUGAAGAAAGCCUCUCAGUGAUGGAGAUAAUUUAUUUUUACCUUCACUGUGACCUUGAGAAGAUUCUUCCCAUUCUCCAUUUGUUAUCUGGGAACUUAUUAAAUGGAAACUGAAACUACUGCACCAUUUAAAAACAGGCAGCUCAUAAGAGCCACAGGUCUUUAUGUUGAGUCGCGCACCGAAAAACUAAAAAUAAUGGGCGCUUUGGAGAAGAGUGUGGAGUCAUUCUCAUUGAAUUAUAAAAGCCAGCAGGCUUCAAACUAGGGGACAAAGCAAAAAGUGAUGAUAGUGGUGGAGUUAAUCUUAUCAAGAGUUGUGACAACUUCCUGAGGGAUCUAUACUUGCUUUGUGUUCUUUGUGUCAACAUGAACAAAUUUUAUUUGUAGGGGAACUCAUUUGGGGUGCAAAUGCUAAUGUCAAACUUGAGUCACAAAGAACAUGUAGAAAACAAAAUGGAUAAAAUCUGAUAUGUAUUGUUUGGGAUCCUAUUGAACCAUGUUUGUGGCUAUUAAAACUCUUUUAACAG
Molecule: long non-coding RNA, 687 nt
Filed under: Homo sapiens (human)
Lineage: Eukaryota; Metazoa; Chordata; Mammalia; Primates; Hominidae
Description: HSALNT0285689
Source: RNAcentral